UCAGAUUAAUAAACUUAACCUAGUAUAAUCGUUGGAGAAUGGCUAACGAGAUCUACCUGCACCUAAGCUGCGGACUACUAGUUUUAAGGGAUGAGUC
This 97-nucleotide non-coding RNA is filed under the name Weissella koreensis. RNAcentral describes it as "Guanine sequence". It matches the Rfam family "Purine riboswitch aptamer". From Rfam's summary of the family: Riboswitches are metabolite binding domains within certain messenger RNAs that serve as precision sensors for their corresponding targets. Allosteric rearrangement of mRNA structure is mediated by ligand binding, and this results in modulation of gene expression. The record is from Rfam by way of RNAcentral. Lineage: Bacteria; Bacillati; Bacillota; Bacilli; Lactobacillales; Lactobacillaceae.